ACGGCCAUACCAUGUUGAAUAUACCGCUUGAUCACCGAAGUCAAGCAUCAUUGGGCGCGGUCAGUACUUGGGUGGGUGACCACCUGGGAACACCGCGUGCCGUU
RNAcentral lists this ribosomal RNA (104 nucleotides) under Caerostris darwini. Lineage: Eukaryota; Metazoa; Arthropoda; Arachnida; Araneae; Araneidae. The record is from RNAcentral.